RNAcentral lists this microRNA precursor (90 nucleotides) under Buceros rhinoceros silvestris. RNAcentral's name for it is "mir-7 microRNA precursor family". It matches the Rfam family "mir-7 microRNA precursor family". Rfam says of the family: This family represents the microRNA (miRNA) precursor mir-7. The record is from Rfam by way of RNAcentral. Lineage: Eukaryota; Metazoa; Chordata; Aves; Bucerotiformes; Bucerotidae.
AGGCCUGGCUCUGUGUGGAAGACUAGUGAUUUUGUUGUUCUGCUCUGUAAAGGUGACAACAAAUCAUAGCCUGCCACCCAGCACAGGCCC